CGGCACGGGUGCGUAACGCGUAUGCAACCUACCAUCAACAGGGGAUAACACUGAGAAAUUGGUACUAAUACCCCAUAAUAUCUCAUGCGGCAUCGCAUGGGGUUGAAAACUCCGGUGGUUGAUGAUGGGCAUGCGUUGUAUUAGCUGGUUGGUGAGGUAACGGCUCACCAAGGCGACGAUACAUAGGGGGACUGAGAGGUUAACCCCCCACAUUGGCACUGAGACACGGACCAAACUCCUACGGAAGGCAGCAG
This 254-nucleotide ribosomal RNA is filed under the name uncultured bacterium. Its description in RNAcentral is "partial 16S ribosomal RNA". It matches the Rfam family "Bacterial small subunit ribosomal RNA", at positions 98 to 354 of the family's 1533-position model. The record is from RNAcentral.